RNAcentral lists this ribosomal RNA (624 nucleotides) under Candidatus Mycoplasma haematominutum. RNAcentral's name for it is "bacterial SSU rRNA". It matches the Rfam family "Bacterial small subunit ribosomal RNA", at positions 280 to 896 of the family's 1533-position model. The record is from RNAcentral. Lineage: Bacteria; Bacillati; Mycoplasmatota; Mollicutes; Mycoplasmatales; Mycoplasmataceae.
UCAGUUUUCACUGUUCGUUACACGAUUGAGANUGGGGGNNUUNAGAUUUUCNUCGCCCAUAUUCCUACGGGAAGCAGCAGUGAUGAAUUUUUCACAAUGGACGAAAGUCUGAUGGAGCAAUACCAUGUGAACGAUGAAGGUCUUCUGAUUGUAAAGUUCUUUUAUUUAGGAAAAAAAGCUUGAUAGGAAAUGAUUAAGCCUUGAUUGUACUAAAUGAAUAAGUGACAGCUAACUAUGUGCCAGCAGCUGCGGUAAAACAUAGGUCACGAGCAUUAUCCGGAUUUAUUGGGCGUAAAGGAAGCGUAGGCGGACAAAUUGAUCUAUUGUUAAAGGCACUUGCUCAACGAGUUGUUUGUGAUAGAUAUCGUUUGUCUAGAAUUAGUUAGGAGAUACUGGAAUUCAAUGUGUAGCGGUGGAAUGCGUAGAUAUAUUGAGGAACACCAGAGGCUAAGGCGAGUAUCUAGGACAUAAUUGACGCUGAGGCUUGAAAGCGUGGGGAGCAAAUGGGAUUAGAUACCCCAGUAGUCCACGCCGUAAACGAUGGGUAUUAGGUAUUUGGUCUAGGACUGAGUGCUGUAGCUAACGCGUUAAAUACCCCGCCUGGGUAGUAUAUAUGCAAAUAGA